UACCUAGGUCCCGAGCGUUGUCCGGAUUUAUUGGGCGUAAAGCGAGCGCAGGUGGUUUAUUAAGUCUGGUGUAAAAGGCAGUGGCUCAACCAUUGUAUGCAUUGGAAACUGGUAGACUUGAGUGCAGCAGAGGAGAGUGGAAUUCCAUGUGUAGCGGUGAAAUGCGUAGAUAUAUGGAGGAACACCGGUGGCGAAAGCGGCUCUCUGGCCUGUAACUGACACUGAGGCUCGAAAGCGUGGGGAGCAAACAGG
RNAcentral lists this ribosomal RNA (252 nucleotides) under uncultured bacterium. Its description in RNAcentral is "partial 16S ribosomal RNA". It matches the Rfam family "Bacterial small subunit ribosomal RNA", at positions 524 to 776 of the family's 1533-position model. The record is from RNAcentral.